RNAcentral lists this ribosomal RNA (477 nucleotides) under uncultured bacterium. Its description in RNAcentral is "bacterial SSU rRNA". It matches the Rfam family "Bacterial small subunit ribosomal RNA", at positions 35 to 507 of the family's 1533-position model. The record is from RNAcentral.
GCUGGCGGCAGGCUUAACACAUGCAAGUCGAGCGGUAGCAGAUCUAGCUUGCUAGAUGCUGACGAGCGGCGGACGGGUGGGUAACGCGUAGGAACCUGCCCAGUAGUGGGGGAUAGCCCGGGGAAACUCGGAUUAAUACCGCAUACGCUCUACGGAGGAAAGAGGGGGCUUCGGCUCUCGCUAUUGGAUGGGCCUGCGUGAGAUUAGCUAGUUGGUGAGGUAAUGGCUCACCAAGGCGACGAUCUCUAGCUGGUCUGAGAGGAUGAUCAGCCACACUGGGACUGAGACACGGCCCAGACUCCUACGGGAGGCAGCAGUGGGGAAUAUUGCACAAUGGGCGCAAGCCUGAUGCAGCCAUGCCGCGUGUGUGAAGAAGGCUUUCGGGUUGUAAAGCACUUUCAGUGGGGAGGAAGGCCUCGUAGUUAAUAGCUGCGAGGAUUGACGUUACCCACAGAAGAAGCACCGGCUAACUCCGUG